RNAcentral lists this ribosomal RNA (468 nucleotides) under uncultured bacterium. RNAcentral describes it as "partial 16S ribosomal RNA". It matches the Rfam family "Bacterial small subunit ribosomal RNA", at positions 28 to 507 of the family's 1533-position model. The record is from RNAcentral.
GACGAACGCUGGCGGCGUGCUUAACACAUGCAAGUCGAACGGAAAGGCCCUGCUUUUGUGGGGUGCUCGAGUGGCGAACGGGUGAGUAACACGUGAGUAACCUCCCCUUGACUUUGGGAUAACUUCAGGAAACUGGGGCUAAUACCGGAUAGGAGCUCCUGCUGCAUGGUGGGGGUUGGAAAGUUUCGGCGGUUGGGGAUGGACUCGCGGCUUAUCAGCUUGUUGGUGGGGUAGUGGCUUACCAAGGCUUUGACGGGUAGCCGGCCUGGGAGGGUGACCGGCAACAUGGGGACUGAGAUAGGGCCCAGACUCCAACGGGAGGCAGCGGGGGGGAAUAUGGCACAAUGGGGGGAAGCCUGAGGCAGCAACGCCGGGUGCGGGAUGACGGCCUUCGGGUGGUAAACCGCUUUCGCCUGUAACGAGGCGUGAGUGACGGUAAUGGGUAAAGAAGCACCGGCUAACUACGUG